This 440-nucleotide ribosomal RNA is filed under the name uncultured bacterium. RNAcentral describes it as "partial 16S ribosomal RNA". It matches the Rfam family "Bacterial small subunit ribosomal RNA", at positions 338 to 795 of the family's 1533-position model. The record is from RNAcentral.
CCUACGGGUGGCAGCAGUGGGGAAUAUUGCACAAUGGGGGAAACCCUGAUGCAGCGACGCCGCGUGAGUGAAGAAGUAUUUCGGUACGUAAAGCUCUAUCAGUAGGGAAGAAAAUGACGGUACCUGACUAAGAAGCCCCGGCUAACUACGUGCCAGCAGCCGCGGUAAUACGUAGGGGGCAAGCGUUAGCCGGAUUUACUGGGUGUAAAGGGAGCGUAAGCGGCAGCGCGAGUCUGGCGGUAAAUCCCAGGGCUUAACCAUGGAACUGCUUUGGAAACUGGGCAGCUGGAGUGCAGGAGAGGUAAGCGGAAUUCGUGGUGUAGCGGUGAAAUGCGUAGAUAUUAGGAGGAACACCAGUGGCGAAGGCAGCUUACUGGACUGUAACUGACGUUGAGGCUCGAAAGCGUGGGGAGCAAACAGGAUUAGAUACCCCAGUAGUC